CAACAGCAUAGCAGUUUGUUUCUCCUCAGACAGAGAAAAAGCCGAAUAAAUCUAAACUGCUCUAAUCCACUCCUUAAUAUAAUAUUGUCCCCAUUUCAUCUACCGUUGUAGAAUGGGAUGACACCUGAGGCCUGCAGCUGUAGGAAGAUACAACUUCUCAUCUUACUCACAUCUUUCAUAAGGAAGGAAAAAAAAACAGACUCGCAACACAAAGAAACAACUGUAUUGUGUUCUAUAAUGACAAGAUUGUAAAGGCAUCUCCCUAUUGUUCUGUGUAUUCUUUCAUUCGCAGCAUUUAACACGCCUUUUUUUUCCUGAAAUGAAUAA
Molecule: long non-coding RNA, 327 nt
Organism: Xenopus tropicalis (tropical clawed frog)
Lineage: Eukaryota; Metazoa; Chordata; Amphibia; Anura; Pipidae
Exons: 3
Source: RefSeq, a predicted model, not a curated record